CUGGCAUCUUGUUGGAUUAAAAGGGCAAGGGGGCUUCUCUGGUAUUGUCAGGGGGUUGACACAGGGGAGGCCAGGGAGAAAACAUCUCCUUCCAUCUCCUGCUAAAGUUAUAGGUGUUUGUUUCUUUCUUUUUCCAGGUCAUCACACUUUACAGAAACUUUGUCAUCUUCCAGGAGUCUGAAAUGCAUCUCUCUCUGAUUUCACUCAGAGAAAGCUUCCCUCCUCUUAGGAGCUCCAGAAUUAUGUUUCACAGUGUCAAGCCCUGGGAAAAACAAAAUUCUUCUUACUUGAUUGCCCAAGCACAAGUCCCAGGGUCAUCUCUGUUUGACUUAAUUGACUUGAAUUAUGUCACGUGAACAUCUGAGCCAAUCACCAUGACCAUGAGCAUAUUACUUUCUGAUUGGCCUGACCUUGGUCACACACCUACCAUGGUGCUUGGACUACAGUGAUCUCCACAAUAAAGAACAGUAGAGAGUGAGCUUCCUAGCAGGAGCUGGAUGGACAACAAAAACUGUCUAAUGUGAACUACGACCAAGGAGGAGAGGCCAGUCAAAGCAGAAAUAAGGUAAGAAAUGCCCUGACUUCUCUUAGUUCUCCAAUCUCCAAAUAUUGCCUCUCAUUGGCUAGUCUACAAGGCAGCUAGCAAGAAGUCUAGAAAAUGUCAUUUUCAGGACAAAAGAGAAGAAUAUAUCUGAGACCAAGGAAAAAUUAAUGACACCCUCCUUGUAGCAAGAAAUGAAUUGAGAUUGCUUUCCCAUGGAAAAUUAACAGCUUCAUCUUAAUCCUUUUCUUCGCUAUCGUAGAAGAAUGUGAAGCCUUUCUGCUAUUGAGGAAAGGGAGACUCAGUUUUUCAGAGUUUGGCCAUAGGUCCUAGAGGAUAUUGAGACAGCCAGGUCGGAUGGGGUCCCCAUCCUGAGUGCUGGGGUGGAAGUUCCUACUGUUUGCAAGUUCCACACAGGAAGCCUGGCCCCUCCUCUUCCUGUGUGGAAACUGGGCUUCCAAUGGCUGGCAGGAAGUGCUCUAGCAGGGACUCUGGCCUAAUGAGAGUCUUUGUUUCCUCCUUUCUUUUCACCCAGUAAAGCCCUGCCUUACCAUUCAAAUUGUCUGCAAGCCUGAAUUUUCACGGCUGUGGGACAAAGAACCCCAUCUUUAGCUGAACUAAGGAAAAGUCCUACAACAUUUUUGGCACCCAAAUGUGGGGCAUGAGAAGUGAUGAGUAAAAUGAGGACUCAAACUCUCACACUGUUGUUUCUAAGCCUUUUCAUCCUCAAACUUCUGAACAUGAGGGAAACCAUACCCCCAUCCCCUGUCACUCCCAGGCCUUUUCAUGGCCUUUUCUUUCUGUUUUCAGAGACGAACUGGUGAGCAGCAGCUCCCCACCACUUCUCACUCAUUGUGAGUGCUGGGGUGCAUGGCCCAACGGUCCCACAUAGCUGGUUGGCUGGUUUCCAGCCAUAAGCUGCCACAGUCUUCCCUUCCCCUUCCCUUUCCCCUUCCUCUCCCCCAGCCAAAGGGUUUGCUCCAUUGGACAGUAAUUAAGCUUAAACUUUUUACCCUGGUGGAGGAAACUGUUGCAUAAGAAUAAGAGGUUCUUCCUCAGUAUUUAUUUCCUUUCCUCUUCUCCACCGUGUUGGCAGUUAACUUUUACAUUUUUUUUUCUUUUAGAUGUUUUGCUAGGCCUGCCCUCAUCAACUAUCACUGUGUAGUCUUUGCAAAGUUUUGGUUGUGAAAUCAAGCCUCCAUCUUGUUUUACAUCCUGAGGGCAUGGCUUGUAACUCCUGUUGGGCAAGGCUUUGUUUAGCAAUUCUGUCUUAGGGAAUAAGUUUCUUUCUGGUUUGGUAUCUGCAUGUUUUCCCAGAUCUGCCUCUUAAAGGACCCCACGCAGCGACUGGGUUUUCUUCUGCCUGUCUAUGUAUGUAUUGUGUGUGACAUUUAAGCUUAAAAAAACCAAGUACUUGGAUCUAAUAUAUUUUAAAUAUAAAAUCUGUGGUACCUUUCAGUUCGUGUGACUUUAAUCUUUGAGAAAUAAAAGCAGCC
Molecule: long non-coding RNA, 2037 nt
Filed under: Callithrix jacchus (white-tufted-ear marmoset)
Lineage: Eukaryota; Metazoa; Chordata; Mammalia; Primates; Cebidae
Description: lncRNA (ENSCJAG00000085086.1)
Source: RNAcentral